GGAGCUGUAGCGAAGUUGGUUAUCGCACCUGCCUGUCACGCAGGGGAUCGCGGGUUCGAGUCCCGUCAGCUCCG
Molecule: transfer RNA, 74 nt
Filed under: Entomospira nematocerorum
Lineage: Bacteria; Pseudomonadati; Spirochaetota; Spirochaetia; Spirochaetales; Spirochaetaceae
Also listed under: 2 other names
Rfam family: tRNA
About the family: Transfer RNA (tRNA) molecules are approximately 80 nucleotides in length. Their secondary structure includes four short double-helical elements and three loops (D, anti-codon, and T loops). Further hydrogen bonds mediate the characteristic L-shaped molecular structure. tRNAs have two regions of fundamental functional importance: the anti-codon, which is responsible for specific mRNA codon recognition, and the 3' end, to which the tRNAs corresponding amino acid is attached (by aminoacyl-tRNA synthetases). tRNAs cope with the degeneracy of the genetic code in two manners: having more than one tRNA (with a specific anti-codon) for a particular amino acid; and 'wobble' base-pairing, i.e. permitting non-standard base-pairing at the 3rd anti-codon position.
Source: Rfam by way of RNAcentral